CUUAUUAAUUCGGAGAGGGCAAGAUUACUGCAUGCCCCACCUUUGAUCAAAAUUUGAACUGCCCAUUCUUGGGUUUUCAAUUCAAUACCCCUUUGGUCUCAAGGCGCCCUUUGCGGGUUUUCACCUUAGCCUCUCCUUUUUAUUUUUCUUUUUUCUUUUCUUUUUUCAUUUUUUCUUUUUUCUUUUCGUUUUUUUUCAAGUGAAGUAUUUAUUGCCUGAAUCAAAAUUCUGAAGAUUAGGCAGGUUCUUGUCAUCCAUCUUGGUCAAUACUGACGCUCUCUUAGAUAAGGCCUUCCACAUAAGGUCCUUCCGGAUUUGGCAUCCACUUUUUUUGAAGUCUUUCUGUAUGGGAAUGAUUUUUCGAUACCAGUUGCUCCUCAUAGAAUUUUCUGGGGUGAACCUUUUGGUGAGCUCGCGUCUUUUAUUUUGGUGCUUUUGACCAAGACGGAUAACUUUGAAUCUUUCAUUUUCAAUCAAAUUUAACUGUUCAUAUCAAGCUUGGAUUUGCUUCAUCCAAAUUCAACUCUGACAAGAUUCGAAGGGUAGAAAUAUCAACUUUGAUGGGUAAAACUACCUCUAUUCCAUAUACUAGUGGGAAAUGAGUUGCCCCGGUAGAGGUAUUUUCUUUUAUUUGGUUUUUUUUUGUUUUUUUUUGCUUUUUAUUUUCUCGUUUUUUUUACUUUUUUUUUGCUUUUUUUGCCCCCACUGAACUGUUCAUUUUGAGGCGAUAUAGUGUUAAUCUUGAACAGACUGCAAACUUCUGAUGUCGUGCGGUUGUUCAAAUUCAAUGCAUUGUCUAAUAUGAUCCUUUUUGGCAUUCCAUAUUGACAUAUGAUUCUUCAAGAAAUUUGUUGAUUGUCAGCUUUGUGAUAUUGGCAUAUGAAGCAGCUUCCACCCGCCUAAUGAAGUAAUCGAUGACUACAAAGAUGACUCGAUGACCGCUAGAAGCUUUUGGCGAGAUUAGCCCAAUGACCUCCAUGCCC
Molecule: long non-coding RNA, 983 nt
Filed under: Gossypium raimondii (Peruvian cotton)
Lineage: Eukaryota; Viridiplantae; Streptophyta; Magnoliopsida; Malvales; Malvaceae
Description: long non-coding RNA (GRAI_LNC004382)
Source: RNAcentral